AUCAAGUACAGUGCAGUAAACGAGUAAAAAUGAAUUGGCUUUCAUUGUUUGUAUUUGUUGUGCUGGCCAAUGUGGCUAUAUCGCUGCAUAUACCCAAAGCCGGCAAAUUCGAUAAACCUAUUUGUUGUAGAUAUAAUUGCAGUCCUGAGUUGUGCAAUAAGGAUGACUAGAAAUACCAUAAAGAGUUCUGAACAAGAAAUUUGUAAAAGAA
Scaptodrosophila lebanonensis is the source of this 211-nucleotide long non-coding RNA. RefSeq lists it as uncharacterized. The record is from RefSeq and is a predicted model, not a curated record. NCBI's taxonomy places the organism in Eukaryota, Metazoa, Arthropoda, Insecta, Diptera, Drosophilidae. The transcript has 2 exons.